UCCGGUUUGUCACCGGCAGUCUCCCUAGAGUGCCCUUGCGUAGCAACUAGGGACAAGGGUUGCGCUCGUUGCGGGACUUAACCCAACAUCUCACGACACGAGCUGACGACAGCCAUGCAGUACCUGUGUAUCGGUUCUCUUUCGAGCACUUCCGCCUCUCAGCAGAAUUCCGACCAUGUCAAGGGUAGGUAAGGUUUUUCGCGUUGCAUCGAAUUAAUCCACAUCAUCCACCGCUUGUGCGGGUCCCCGUCAAUUCCUUUGAGUUUUAAUCUUGCGACCGUACUCCCCAGGCGGAUGACUUCACGCGUUAGCUGCGUUACUAAAGGAUUUAACUCCUCCAACAACUAGUCAUCAUCGUUUAGGGCGUGGACUAC
This 374-nucleotide unclassified non-coding RNA is filed under the name uncultured Gammaproteobacteria bacterium. RNAcentral describes it as "contains 16S-23S intergenic spacer region". Lineage: Bacteria; Pseudomonadati; Pseudomonadota; Gammaproteobacteria. The record is from RNAcentral.